Molecule: ribosomal RNA, 478 nt
Filed under: uncultured bacterium
Lineage: Bacteria
Description: partial 16S ribosomal RNA
Rfam family: Bacterial small subunit ribosomal RNA
Source: RNAcentral
GAUGAACGCUAGCGGGAGGCCUAACACAUGCAAGCCGAGCGGUAUUGUUUCUUCGGAAAUGAGAGAGCGGCGUACGGGUGCGUAACACGUGUGCAACCUGCCUUUAUCUGGGGGAUAGCCUUUCGAAAGGAAGAUUAAUACUCCAUAAUAUAUUGAACGGCAUCGUUUAAUAUUGAAAGCUCCGGCGGAUAGAGAUGGGCACGCGCAAGAUUAGCUAGUUGGUGAGGUAACGGCUCACCAAGGCGAUGAUCUUUAGGGGGCCUGAGAGGGUGAUCCCCCACACUGGUACUGAGACACGGACCAGACUCCUACGGGAGGCAGCAGUGAGGAAUAUUGGUCAAUGGGUGCAAGCCUGAACCAGCCAUCCCGCGUGAAGGACGACUGCCCUAUGGGUUGUAAACUUCUUUUGUAUAGGGAUAAACCUACCCUCGAGAGGGUAGCUGAAGGUACUAUACGAACAAGCACCGGCUAACUCCGU